Molecule: ribosomal RNA, 492 nt
Filed under: uncultured bacterium
Lineage: Bacteria
Description: partial 16S ribosomal RNA
Rfam family: Bacterial small subunit ribosomal RNA
Source: RNAcentral
AGUGAACGCUGGCGGUAGGCCUAACACAUGCAAGUCGAACGGCAGCACAGUAAGAGCUUGCUCUUACGGGUGGCGAGUGGCGGACGGGUGAGGAAUACAUCGGAAUCUACUUUUUCGUGGGGGAUAACGUAGGGAAACUUACGCUAAUACCGCAUACGGCCUACGGGUGAAAGCAGGGGAUCUUCGGACCUUGCGCGAUUGAAUGAGCCGAUGUCGGAUUAGCUAGUUGGCAGGGUAAAGGCCCACCAAGGCGACGAUCCGUAGCUGGUCUGAGAGGAUGAUCAGCCACACUGGAACUGAGACACGGUCCAGACUCCUACGGGAGGCAGCAGUGGGGAAUAUUGGACAAUGGGCGCAAGCCUGAUCCAGCCAUACCGCGUGGGUGAAGAAGGCCUUCGGGUUGUAAAGCCCUUUUGUUGGGAAAGAAAAGCAGCAGGUUAAUACCCCGCUGUUCUGACGGUACCCAAAGAAUAAGCACCGACUAACUUCGUG